GGAGGGGUGGCCGAGUGGUUGAAGGCGCUCGCCUGGAAAGCGGGUAUACCGGAAACGGUAUCGUGAGUUCGAAUCUCAUCCCCUCCGCCA
Molecule: transfer RNA, 90 nt
Filed under: bacterium
Lineage: Bacteria
Also listed under: 2 other names
Description: tRNA-Ser
Rfam family: tRNA
About the family: Transfer RNA (tRNA) molecules are approximately 80 nucleotides in length. Their secondary structure includes four short double-helical elements and three loops (D, anti-codon, and T loops). Further hydrogen bonds mediate the characteristic L-shaped molecular structure. tRNAs have two regions of fundamental functional importance: the anti-codon, which is responsible for specific mRNA codon recognition, and the 3' end, to which the tRNAs corresponding amino acid is attached (by aminoacyl-tRNA synthetases). tRNAs cope with the degeneracy of the genetic code in two manners: having more than one tRNA (with a specific anti-codon) for a particular amino acid; and 'wobble' base-pairing, i.e. permitting non-standard base-pairing at the 3rd anti-codon position.
Source: RNAcentral